CCUACGGGGGGCAGCAGUGGGGAAUAUUGGACAAUGGGGGAAACCCUGAUCCAGCAAUGCCGCGUGAGUGAAGAAGGCCCUAGGGUUGUAAAACUCUUUCACCCGUGAAGAUGAUGACGGUAGCGGGAGAAGAAGCUCCGGCUAACUCCGUGCCAGCAGCCGCGGUAAUACGGAGGGGGCUAGCGUUGCUCGGAAUUACUGGGCGUAAAGCGCGCGUAGGCGGCGCACCAAGUGAGGCGUGAAAUCCCCGGGCUUAACCCGGGAACUGCGUUUCAUACUGGUGUGCUAGAAUCCGAGAGAGGGUAGUGGAAUUCCCAGUGUAGAGGUGAAAUUCGUAGAUAUUGGGAAGAACACCAGUGGCGAAGGCGGCUACCUGGCUCGGUAUUGACGCUGAGGUGCGAAAGCGUGGGGAGCGAACAGGAUUAGAUACCCUUGUAGUC
RNAcentral lists this ribosomal RNA (440 nucleotides) under uncultured bacterium. RNAcentral's name for it is "bacterial SSU rRNA". It matches the Rfam family "Bacterial small subunit ribosomal RNA", at positions 338 to 795 of the family's 1533-position model. The record is from RNAcentral.